RNAcentral lists this long non-coding RNA (1530 nucleotides) under Lynx pardinus (Iberian lynx). Lineage: Eukaryota; Metazoa; Chordata; Mammalia; Carnivora; Felidae. The record is from RNAcentral.
GGGUCAUUGGGUAAGAUGGAUGCCUCACUCCCUUUCUUCAAGGAAGAAGGAAACCAAAGUCAGUAGAAAUAGAAACCUCCAGCCUCUGUGCUCUCAGAGGGUGAGCUUAGGGUUGAGACUUUCGGCGGGGCUGGGGGGGGGGCUCACCCUGACUAUGGGGUUCAAGGCCAAUGAGGAAGGUCCUUUGGUGAAUGGCCAUGUUGAUAUCUAUCUGCUUGCUGUCUUAGCUAAUAUAUGGUCUUCCCUUGGUCUUUUUCCUGGGACAAGGAAAGAGGGAGGAGAAUUUGACUUGGGUUGGGGGGGAACCCACUCAAGGAGGAGGUUAUAGCUGCCAAAACCUGUUUUUCCAUGGAGACCAAUUCAAUAUUCUUUAUCCUGCCAAUUUUCCACGCCACAGGUUUUCAGGCCUUCUGACCAUGAGGCAAAAGUGUAGCCUGAACUAAAAUCUGCAUUUAGGUUAAUGACUAGAUAUAAAUUCAAGAAACAUUUAAACUAUUUUCACAGUAUUGGUUUUGAUACAUGAAUUUCAUUUGUAUUUAUUCUAGGGUGUUAUUUUUUCCCCAUAUAGUUCCUCUCAAGUACAACGAUUGUUGUGUAUAAUAAUGCAUUUUCCAUCACCCGUUCCCACAUCCAUGAAAUUCCUGCAUUUGAGUGGAAGCCUGCCAAGACUAAGACUUGGUGGGAAAAAAAUUAAUGCCAUACUUAAUGCAGGUCCCAGAAACUCUUUUUCUACUUUUCUUCUUUACUUUCUCAAUUCAGUCUCUCUUCUUUCUUUCUUUUCCUCCUUCCUUCUUUCUUUCCCUCAAAACAUAUUUUACUGCUUAAUUCCUUUGGACAUUUGCCUAGAGUUUUGUAUCACCUGAUGAGGACGGGAAUACUAAUUGUCAGAGGAAACAUCAAAAAAGGACAGGAAUUUAAUAAUUCUUUUUCCAUUAAUGUGAUAUCCUUAUCUCUUUGGUUUCUUUAUUAAUCUAUAAUCGAAUUUCACAUAACUGGUUCUACAGAAAUCCCAUUGACCUGAAGCAGAUUUUUUUUUAAGAAGUGAAAAUCCAUUUUAAGCUCAUUACUUUAUGUGUCUUUUGCCUUUAUCUCUCUCCUAAAAGACAAGAAUGAUUUUCAUUUUAAGGAGAAAAAAAAUUCUCAUUCAUCAGUCUAAAAGAAACCCUGUCUUAUCCCAGAUUACCACCAUGGGAUUUAAAAUUCGGGUUGGCCUUGUUCUUGGUUUCCUGCUUUUAUAGUGUAGAUGGGGCAAAUCGUGGCAAAUAGUUAAGUGAAAACUCUCCCUGCUUUUGGCUUAGCCACCUUCGGGGAGAGAGUUUAUACUGUGUACCUGUUUUCACUCCCAAAGUGAGACGAUUCUUUAGGAAUACCUUCCCCAAACUGCAAGGACAGACAGCCUAUUAGUACACCAUUCUCAGUUCAUGUGCCAGCUGCUAUGUUUACCCUUCUUUUAUGCAAUAAAAGUUAAAAUUAUAAUGAAAUUCCCCAGGUUCAGACAGAUCUCAAAAUAAGUUUCUUAAGCUCAAAGAA